AACGAACGCUGGCGGCAUGCCUAACACAUGCAAGUCGAACGAGACCUUCGGGUCUAGUGGCGCACGGGUGCGUAACGCGUGGGAACCUGCCUUUAGGUUCGGAAUAACUCAGAGAAAUUUGAGCUAAUACCGGAUGAUGUCUUCGGACCAAAGAUUUAUCGCCUUUAGAUGGGCCCGCGUUGGAUUAGCUAGUUGGUGGGGUAAAGGCCUACCAAGGCGACGAUCCAUAGCUGGUCUGAGAGGAUGAUCAGCCACACUGGGACUGAGACACGGCCCAGACUCCUACGGGAGGCAGCAGUGGGGAAUAUUGGACAAUGGGCGAAAGCCUGAUACAGCAAUGCCGCGGGAGUGAUGAAGGCCUUAGGGUUGUAAAGCUCUUUUACCCGAGAUGAUAAUGACAGUAUCGGGAGAAUAAGCUCCGGCUAACUCCGUG
Molecule: ribosomal RNA, 433 nt
Filed under: uncultured bacterium
Lineage: Bacteria
Description: partial 16S ribosomal RNA
Rfam family: Bacterial small subunit ribosomal RNA
Source: RNAcentral